This 484-nucleotide ribosomal RNA is filed under the name uncultured bacterium. RNAcentral describes it as "partial 16S ribosomal RNA". It matches the Rfam family "Bacterial small subunit ribosomal RNA", at positions 29 to 523 of the family's 1533-position model. The record is from RNAcentral.
AAUGAACGUUGGCGACGUGGAUUAGGCAUGCAAGUCGUACGGACCGUGGUAGCAAUAUUACGGUUAGUGGCCCAAGGGAGAGUAAUACGUAGGUAUUUACCCUGGGGUCUGGGAUAGCGGCGGGAAACUGCCGGUAAUACCAGAUGAUAUCUCCGGAUCAAAGGUGUGAUUCCGCCCUAGGAGAAGCCUGCGGUCUAUCAGCUAGUUGGUAGGGUAACGGCCUACCAAGGCAAAGACGGAUAUGGGGCGUGAGAGCGUGCCCCCACUCACUGGGACUGAGACACUGCCCAGACACCUACGGGUGGCUGCAGUCGAGAAUCUUCGGCAAUGGGCGCAAGCCUGACCGAGCGACGCCGCGUGCGGGAUGAAGGCCUUCGGGUUGUAAACCGCUGUCGAAGGGGAGGAAAUUGUAGUGGGUUCACCCAUUAUAUUGACCGAUCCUUGGAGGAAGGGCCGGCUAAUCUCGUGCCAGCCGCCGCGGUAA